AAGCUCACACCAAGACUCAAGGGCAGACUCAAGAGAAGUCACUGGAUCUCUUUGUCCCUGCUUCUAAUGUAGCUACAUUGAAAAAUCUCCUUCUGCUCCUUAUUGUUACUUGUUUGCUUAACUUAUCAUUUGUUUGUUUUUUUGGAAGGUGAGGAAACUUGGGUUAUUACAGCUGUCAAGGCUGAGGCUCUGGCCCCAAUGACUCCAGGAACAACACUACUGAAAAAUCUAAUGCAAUCAAGUCAAGAGGGUGUGAGCUUGGAAGAUGAAGGCUGACAGCUGAAGGCUGAAGGAUUCUGUCAAGACAACGACCAUGAUACCGGCUCACCAAAAAAACGAGGCUGCUAGUGUCUACCUCUUCGGGAGAGAUGGUCCACUCUUGCCCUACUGGGGAUUCCUAUCCCAGGAGCCAGAAAUUGAGGCCAUCAAAAUAGAUAAGGUAGUGGAGACAUCCAUCAUAGUCCGCUGCUAUACCACUGGCUUUCACAUGCAAAAUCCAACUGUGAGAGGAAAAACACACACAAAAAUGAAUAUUCCAUAGAACCACACAUUUAUUUUGAAUCUGAGGUUUUUUUCUUUCAUUUUCCUUUUUCUUCACUUCCAACUUUCUUUGGCUUUUUGAAAUAUCCACAAAUGAUUCCCAAAUAUGCCUCUAUAAGCCAACCAAGGACUUUCUUUGCUUUGCUUCCUGAUACAGCCCAUAACAUUCUAAAACUCAUGAUGUUAAAAAGAAUCUUUUGGGCCUAGAGACAGCCUGGUGGUUAAGAGGACUAUCUGUUCUUCCAGAGGACCUGGGCUCAAUUCCCAGAACCCACAUGGCGGCCACAACUGUCUGUAACUCCAGAGGAUCCAAUAUCCUCA
Molecule: long non-coding RNA, 861 nt
Filed under: Cricetulus griseus (Chinese hamster)
Lineage: Eukaryota; Metazoa; Chordata; Mammalia; Rodentia; Cricetidae
Description: lncRNA (ENSCGRG00000026039.1)
Source: RNAcentral